UAUACGUCACCUCUUCCGGACAGGUGCAUGCGUCUGAGUCCAGCUUGUCGCCUCACUCGGUUAGUGACAGAUGAAGAACUCACCAAACUUGACGAGGAUUUCAAACGUGCCCAACUAAGUUGGUCAUCGAGAGGAUGAGAAAAAAAAAGUGAGCUACAUGACUCAGGGGAAAUUUCAUCAUCAAGCUAACUGCUCUGACCAAAGGACUGACCAUGACCCUACAAUCACUAGGAAAACCCGUGGGGGGUCCGUCUACACAUCUCGUGGUGUUGGACUGUGGUGGUGAGAGUUUGUGUAUGCUAAGAGUCUUUUGGUGCACUUUUCAUCUGCUUUUAACACCAUGCAAGCUAAAAUUCUUGCAGACAUUUAAGCCAGUUAAUUAUUGGAUCAUGGAGUUUCUUAUUAAGAGAGUCCAGCGAGUCAGAAUGGGCUCUUUAUACACAUUCAUACACUAGGACUGUACAAAACAGGCACUUUUAUUGAAAAACUAUGCUCUAGUGAGCCUGCUACAGAAUAGGGAGGUAGAUCCUGGGUCUGUUUUAUUGCCACUCCGUUUUAGAAUGGAGCACUAAGUCUCUUAAUGUUAAACACCAAUAAGAACCAAGAACUGUCCAUCGAUUUUAGAAAGUCAAAACAAUCCCCUGACACUAUGAUCACAAUAUUCAGGUUGUUACAAACUACAAAUACCUUGGCAUCGUACUGGUCAUCAAGCUUCAAUGGGACUCAUGGACAGAUCUUUUGCAUACAAAAACACAGGCAUUUUUUAUUUUUUUUAACUGCUUGUUUUUAAUGUCAAUAAAAUUCUCCAAAUGUUG
This is a long non-coding RNA of Phyllopteryx taeniolatus (common seadragon), 815 nucleotides long. RefSeq lists it as uncharacterized. Lineage: Eukaryota; Metazoa; Chordata; Actinopteri; Syngnathiformes; Syngnathidae. The record is from RefSeq and is a predicted model, not a curated record. The transcript has 3 exons.